RNAcentral lists this ribosomal RNA (2320 nucleotides) under Triticum aestivum (bread wheat). Its description in RNAcentral is "partial small subunit ribosomal RNA". Lineage: Eukaryota; Viridiplantae; Streptophyta; Magnoliopsida; Poales; Poaceae. The record is from RNAcentral.
GACUGGAGCACCCGUCCCCACCGCCAGUUGACCCCCUCUGCUCCGGCGACCCCGAUCCCCCGCCCUCCUCCCCCGGGCGGCGAAAUGGCGCCGUGUUGCCCUGCCGAAUCUACCAAGCCGGCCUUCAUCGGGAUAUUCGGCGCCAUCGUCGGCGGAUUCGCCGUCUCCGCUGUUUUCUUCCUCCUUUCUUUCUCCUCUAUCACCGCCCCCGCGCUCCCCUUCCCGGUCGUCACCGCCACCACCACCAACCUCUCUGCUCUCUCCACCCCCGCCCAGCCGGAGACCAUGUACAACCGCCCUAUCUGGAAAUCCCCGGCUCGGGGGUCGCGGAUGCCUUCGCCGCGCGCGUUCCGCCUCACCCGCGACAUGGUGCGCGCCCGCGCCCGCGAUGGGGUCAUCGUCGUCACCUUUGGCAACUACGCCUUCAUGGACUUUAUCCUCACCUGGGUGCGCCACCUCACAGGCCUCGGGGUAGACAAUCUCCUUGUCGGCGCCAUGGACACCAAGUUACUCCGGCAACUCUACCUCACGGGCGUGCCCGUCUUCGACAUGGGCAGCAGGAUGGUCACGGAGGACGUUGGCUGGGGGUCCCCCACCUUCCACAAGAUGGGCAGGGAGAAGGUGCUGCUCAUCAACGAGCUCCUGCCCUUCGGGUACGAACUGCUCAUGUGCGACACGGACAUGGUGUGGCUCAAGAACCCGUUGCCAUAUCUCGCCCGCUACCCCAGUGCGGAUCUCCUCACCUCCAGCGACCAGGUCAUACCCACAGUCACCGACGACAGCCUGGAGAACUGGAGGGAAGUAACUGGGGCAUAUAAUAUUGGUAUUUUCCAUUGGCGACCCACUGAACCUGCUAAAAGGCUGGCAAAAGAUUGGAAAGACCUUGUCAUAUCUGAUGAUAAGAUAUGGGACCAGAAUGCUUUUAAUGAUCUCGUACACACAGUUUUUGGACAACCUGUUCAAGGAGAAGAUGAACUUGUCUACUCAUAUGAUGGAAAAUUGAAGCUUGGAGUCCUACCAGCAAGUAUAUUCUGCAGCGGCCAUACCUACUUUGUGCAGGGCAUGCAUCAGCAGCUUCGGCUAGAACCAUAUGCCGUGCACACUACUUUCCAGUAUGCAGGUACUGAAGGAAAGCGCCAUAGAUUACGGGAGGCAAUGCUUUUCUUUGAUCAACCAUCUUAUUAUGACUCACCAGGAGGUUUCCUAUCAUUUAGGCCUAAUAUUCCCAAACGAAUGCUGUUAGAUGGUGCCCAUACCGUUGAAUCUCAUUUUGCGUUGGUCAAUUACCAGAUGAAGCAAAUAAGAACGGCGUUGGCUAUGGCUUCCUUGUUAAAGCGGACCCUGGCUUGAUAGGAUGUGGUUUGGGCAUCCUGGAGUUAUGGAAGGCACAAUGACUAGACAACCUUUUCUCUGUCCAAUGGAUCAUGUAUUUGAGGUACAUGUUAUGCUGAAGGACUUGCCUGAGGAGGAAUUUGGGCCACGUAUUGAUUUCAGAGAAUACACAUUUCUUGAGAAUCCAUCAUUGCCUAAACAGGUGAAAGAGUCGUUUCUUGAGGUGCGGCUCUGCAAUGAGCAUAGCACCAGAUGCUCCACAGCCAAUGGAACCAAUAAACACAGAGCCCUUCUAUUGCCAAGGAAUAGCACCGAACAAAUGNNNNNNNNNNNNNNNNNAUCGUAUAAGAAUAUCAAGAUCAUACAUUUCUCGUCUAUGGUUGAUGGCUUCAGAGGUUUUGCUGAUGCGGCUGUGGAGACGCAGUUUCGGAAUCGUGUGAAGAGGUAUACAGGAAUAUGGUGUUGUGUUGAGUUCCGUGAAAUUGGGCACAUAUACUAUGACAUGUACUGGGAUGAUAAACCAGGUUGGAAGCCACACCCCCCACAGAAUAGGGAAGAGGACCAUCCACCUUGGGCCUGAAUUUUGAGGUCGGACAAUAGAUCAACCAUGAAAAGGGAUGACAUUCUGUGAUGAAGGCAAGAUAGGUCACACAUUACUGCAGGUUCAUUUUUAACUCCAGAGCAGGCUGCUCCUAUCCGUUGGAAAAAAAUGCUUACUCGAGAAAACAUUUAACUUCCAGUUUUGUAGGCCUGUUCUGUAGAUUAAUUCACUACUGUUCAGUCUGCCCCUUGACCUGUACUUCUUAUCACAUAUGUCCAGAAAAGUUUUCAUGAUAUAGCGUGAGACAACAUUUAAGGUAAUGAUUUGACUAAAAAAGCAUGGCAUCAUGUUCAUAGCCCUCUCAGGCUCUUCAUACUGAAGAUAACUACAGUUGGCUGUGUUUCCCCUGUUCUCGUGUUUUGGAUGCGCUCUGAGACGUCGAUCGUC